Molecule: transfer RNA, 72 nt
Filed under: Apaloderma vittatum (bar-tailed trogon)
Lineage: Eukaryota; Metazoa; Chordata; Aves; Trogoniformes; Trogonidae
Rfam family: tRNA
About the family: Transfer RNA (tRNA) molecules are approximately 80 nucleotides in length. Their secondary structure includes four short double-helical elements and three loops (D, anti-codon, and T loops).
Source: Rfam by way of RNAcentral
GGCUGAUUAGCUCAGUCAGUUGAGCGUGGUGUUAACAAUGCUAAGCUCACGGGUUCGAUUCCCGUUCAGUCC